CAGUAGCCGCGGUAAUACGAAGGGUGCAAGCGUUAAUCGGAAUUACUGGGCGUAAAGCGUGCGUAGGCGGUUUGUUAAGUCUGCUGUGAAAUCCCCGGGCUCAACCUGGGAAUGGCAGUGGAUACUGGCAAGCUAGAGUGUGUCAGAGGAUGGUGGAAUUCCCGGUGUAGCGGUGAAAUGCGUAGAGAUCGGGAGGAACAUCAGUGGCGAAGGCGGCCAUCUGGGACAACACUGACGCUGAGGCACGAAAGCGUGGGGAGCAAACAGGAUUAGAUACCCCUGUAGUCCCUGUCUCUUAUAA
Molecule: ribosomal RNA, 301 nt
Filed under: uncultured bacterium
Lineage: Bacteria
Description: partial 16S ribosomal RNA
Rfam family: Bacterial small subunit ribosomal RNA
Source: RNAcentral